AUGAGUUUUGGGAUCCCGGGAAUUCNNNNNNNNNNCGAAUAUUGGGAUUUUCCCCCAAGCCGCCGUUCCCAAAGGGAAUUUUAUGGGCUGGCAUCUGUGUCCCUGUCCCUGGCAUUGUCACUGAGCCCCGCCAGUGUCCCUGGCAUUGUCACCGGGCUGUGUCACUGCCCCUGGCAUUGUCACCAAGCCCUGACAGUGUCCCUGUCCCUGUCCCUGGCAUUGUCACCAAGCCCUGACAGUGUCCCUGUCCCUGUCCCUGGCAUUGUCACCAAGCUGUACCACUGUCCCUGUCCCUGUCCCUGUCCCUGGCAUUGUCACCGAGCUGUGUCACUGCCCCUGGCAUUGUCACCGAGCUGUGUCCCUGUCCCUGGCAUUGUCACCAAGCCCUGCCAGUGUCCCUGGCAUUGUCACCGAGCCCUGCCAGUGUCCCUGUCCCUGCCCCUGGCAUUGUCACCGAGCCCUGCCAGUGUCCCUGGCAUUGUCACCGAGCUGUGUCACUGCCCCUGGCAUUGUCACCAAGCCCUGCCAGUGUCACUGUCCCUGUUCCUGGCAUUGUCACCAAGCCCUGACAGUGUCCCUGUCCCUGCCCCUGGCAUUGUCACCGAGCUGUGCCAGUGUCACUGUCCCUGUUCCUGUCCCUGGCAUUGUCACCGGGCUGUGUCACUGUCCCUGGCAUUGUCACCAAGCCCUGACAGUGUCCCUGUCCCUGGCAUUGUCACCGAGCUGUGUCACUGCCCCUGGCCCUGUCCCUGUCGCUGUCACCAAGUGCUGGCACUGGCACUGUCCCAGUUCCUGUUCCUGUUCCUGUUCCUGGCCCCAUGCCUGUCACUGUCACCGAGCCGUGUCUCUGUUCCGGUUCCUGUUCCUGUUCCUCUUCUUGUCCCCAUCCCCUUCCCUGUCCCCAUCCCUGUCCCUGUCCCUGUCCCUGUCCCCAUCCCUGUCCCCCUCCCUGUCCCCUCCCUGUCCCUGUCCCUGUCCCGUCCCUGUCCCUGUCCCAUCCCUGUCCCAUCCCUGUCCCUGUCCCCAUCCCUGUCCCUGUCCCCAUCCCUGUCCCUGUCCCUGUCCCUGUCCCUGUCCCAUCCCUGUCCCCCUCCCUGUCCCCUCCCUGUCCCGUCCCUGUCCCUGUCCCUGUCCCUGUCCCUGUCCCGUCCCCGUCCCUGUCCCCAUCUCCGUUACUCGGGGACAACGCAGGGACGGAGCCCUGGGAGAGCCCCUGGCUCCGGCCUGGAGCGGGACGUGGAAGUGGGAAUGGGAUUUGGAUUUGGGAUUUGGGAUUUGGGAUUUGGGAUUUGGGAUUGGGAUCUGGGAUCUGGGAUUGGGGAUUUGGGAUUGGGGAUUUGGGGUUUGGGAUUUGGGAUUUGGCAUUGGAAGGAGUUUGGGGGCUGA
Molecule: long non-coding RNA, 1386 nt
Filed under: Chloebia gouldiae (Gouldian finch)
Lineage: Eukaryota; Metazoa; Chordata; Aves; Passeriformes; Passeridae
Description: Erythrura gouldiae (Gouldian finch) lncRNA (ENSEGOG00005015015.1)
Source: RNAcentral